This 4449-nucleotide long non-coding RNA is filed under the name Malus domestica (apple). RNAcentral describes it as "long non-coding RNA (MDOM_LNC009001)". Lineage: Eukaryota; Viridiplantae; Streptophyta; Magnoliopsida; Rosales; Rosaceae. The record is from RNAcentral.
UGGCAUCUCCAGCCACCGUCACGCUUCCCUUUCGAAAUUUUUCUACCAGUAUCUCCCAUGGCGGACGAUAUCUCAAGCGCACGUGAGAUACUGAUUCUAGGUCACUCUUUCUUAUCAUGUCUACCAUUUCUGAAGGAAAUUCUUUGAUUAACUGUAAUGUCAGUUGUCGAAUGAGCUCUGGAUCCUUCGAAACCUCCGAUGGAUCUGCUACACGUACAAUUUCUUUGAUGUAGUCACGAUUCGAAAAACAAAGGGAUACAAUUUUGUAGAAGAAAAGAAAAAGAAUGCACCUUGUCUGCCAUGAACUUGGUGAGUGACGAACCAGGAGACCAAGUUAUCAUGAACUGGAAUUCUUCCAAUUGUCUUCUUGUCACCCUUAACCAUUACAAACUCGUUCCCAAAAUUAUGACCACCUGGGUAAACUGUAAAACCUCUAACCCCCGCUAACAUGAACGGCUUUGAUGGUUUUACACCGACGAAAUCCGCGACAACUGACUUUGUUCCAUCACAUCCGAUCAAAACCUGAUUUGAUAAUUAACAGCAUUAAUCGAUAUUCGAAAACUGAUAAAAUUGUAACGAUACAGAGAAGAAAUGAAACGAUCGCGAUCGAGUGGUAGUGUAGAUAUACCUUGGCUUUGAUGGUGCUUCCGCUGUGGAGUUGAAGAGUUGGAUGGGAAGUUAGGGAGUCCAACUUAACCGAGAUUGCUUGGCAUCCAAGGCGUAUGGUACCAACUGGCAAGCUCUCUGCUAGUGUUUCGAUCAGAUCACUCCGUUUCAAGCAUCGUGCUUCCACACCUCUAUCGACACGACAGUAUUUCAUUUAUUGAACCGAUUUCCAACUUCAUUUAUUUCUAACGAAAUUAAAGUACUGACACUCACUAACAUAUCACUCGGUGAACAAAUUAAUGAAAAUAUUUUAUGACUAGCAUUAUUGAAUUAGAUAAUUAUUUAAUAAGAGUUGUUAUUCACACUUUAACAAUGUUGGGCUCGUUUUGGAAGUAUUUCUAAAAUGAAUAACAAUGCUUUUGUUGAAAAAUAUUUUUUUUUGGAACAAAUCCUUAGUAAAAAUGCAAAACACUUGAAGUGCUUCUCAUAGGAAGCACAUAACUAGUCAUUCUUGUAGGAAGCACAAGUGCUCUUGGAACCCGAUUUUUUUCUUUCUCCAACUACGGUUUCAGUCAUUUCAAAAGCACUUCCAAACGAGCUCAUGCACUCCUCUUGUGUAUUUUCUUCCAUAUAUCCUCUUGUAUAUUUUGUCCCAUAUAUUUUCAUAUACAAGGGAUACAAAAUGUUGUUUUUCGAGUGCUAAUAACAUUUUCUAGCAUUAUGUGAAUUAAUUUGUGGGUCAUAUAUACUCACUUACCCAUACGCCAUUUCUUGUUGCUUGCCAUCAUUAAGGUAUAUCUCACGGACUCUAUACAAGAUAAGAGUGUGAAUUAUUUUGUAUCAGAUAGACAAGUUUAAAAAAAUGUAAGGACCCGAGCAAUGUUCGAAUAUAUAGACAUAUGUACCCUUGAAGUGGUUGGGCAGUUUGUCUGAGCUUUGAGGCCACACCAAGCUCAUCCAAGGCUCGCCAACCAUUUGCUCGAAUAAUGAUACCUCCUCCGGUAGCACGCAGGGAUUCUGAUCUUUCCAACACAACACUUGUGAACCCCUUUCUGCAUGAUAUAUAUACAUAACAUAUACAGUGUUACUAUUAUGAUUACUAUUGAAUAUGACGGUUAAAUAUUUUCGGAUUUGAGUGAUUAUUUGUAGAUAUAAUCUUUGAGAGAAUAUCUGAAAGAUGUGUUAGAUAUGAUUAAGGUGAACCUCACAAAUAAUCCUAAAACAUCUUAUUAGAGGAAUUCCUGAACGGAAGGAGACUAUGUAUGUAUUCAUGUAAUUUAUCAUGCUGAUAGUCAACUACAUUUAAAAUAAGCCAUUCACAUGAAGAAUAAAUUUGUAAUGAACUAAUGAUAUAACAGGUAGUGAAAGAUGAAACCUAUGGAGAGCAAGGGCAGUUGCGAGGCCGCAGAUUCCACCACCAACUAUGGCGAUCUCUAACUCUUCAUCUGCUACAUCCAUUUUUUUCCUCUCCUCUCUCUCUCUCUCUCUCAGUGUCUUUGGUUGAAAUAUGCUUUAUAUAUUUUGUCUCCUUCGUUUAACCUUUACUUAGUUAAGCGUGCUGUUUCAAAAUUACCAAAUGUCAAUCGAGUCCUACUAAUAUUGCAUUGCAUUUUCCACACACACACAUAUUUAUAUAUGUGGUUGAUAGUGAAAUGCCUUUGAUUGGCACAUAAAACUAUAUUAUUUUGUGGACUUUUGCUAUCAUGUCAAGUAAUGUCUUCAUUUAUAAAUAAAUAAAAAACAAAUAAAUGGUUCUAUUUCAAAAGAGGUGGCUUUUGUUCAAUUGUCCGGCAAGUCCGUCUAAUUUCUCUUCACAAUUUCAUCAAUAUUGAGCUCAUGACUAACAAGAGGUCCCCUUAGGUUUUGUUUGUGUUUAAAAUUAGGAAACUUCACUCUUUUGGGAGUAAAGUCAAAUUAUGGUAUCUAGUGGGGUUAUUGUGAAAUUAGAUUAGACUUGCAUCAAGUGACACAUGUUUGGCUUACAAGUAUCCAGUGACACCAAUUAUUUUAUGAUAUAUGUUUGUAGAUAUUUCUCAUACUAGUGAGGUUUGGACGGUGGAAUGCAGCAAGUGGCUUCUUUUAAUACCAUUUCCUAAGAAGGUGAAUUUGAAGAAGGUAGAAUCUGAAUCAAGUGGCUUUGCGUUAACACUAUGGUUUGUUCUCUGCAUAUUUGCAGCCAACGAAGAAAGAGGGGACUCUCAAAACAAUCAAACAAAUUUCUCUCUAGAAAACCAAAAGCCGCACUCUUUCCAUUUCAUUGCAAGCUCUUUCAUUUCUUUCAAUUAAAGUCAAUGUGCUCUUUCAUUUCUUUCAAUUAAAGUCAAGGUGCUCUUUCAAUUCAUUAUAGCUUUGUUGUCUUUACAAGUAUUCCUCCAUUUUAAUACAAGUUCUCUCUUCAAAUUUGGUAUUGUCAUUUCAAUACAAAGCAUUAAACAAUUUCUCUUUCUCUUCACCAGUCCCGUAUUGUGAUCGAAUUCUCUACAUAAGUAAACAACUUAAGUUGAGCCAUUCCCACUCAAUGACACAAUCUUUUAGUUAGAAGUUAAAUAGCGCAAUUUUCAUCAUUCAAAUCUCGUCUACUAACAGUAACCAAUAGUGGCACGCUUGCAAUCUUCAAUCUCAUAUUGAAGUAAAUUCCCAGCACACCCACAAGGACCAUGGCGAAUUUAUGGGGCGAACAGGUUCCUUCGGUUUGGUCCAUGAUGUCUGCCUAAGAGAGAUAAUAUAAGUGUAGUUUGUAACAUGUGCAGGCACCAACUUGCUUUACUAAAGCAACAAAAGGUAGUUUUCCAAAAAAAAAGCAACAAAAGGUAUGGUAUCGAUUCAAUCGAUUUUGAUUGUUUGUAACAGUAUGUUCACUUAACUUUUGACGAUCCUUCGCUCCAAACGCUGUGUACUUUGCUUGAGGUAUAUUAAAAAAACUACAAAAGCUUCUUGUAUCGUUUCAUCUACGAAAGCUUCUUGGAUCGCUUCAUCAUCUGUAUCGUCAAUAGGUUUCUUCCCAGUUUUGUUAUUUCCAGUUAUUUAUGUGCUACUUCAAGUCUUGAGGGUGUAUGACUCGAUGCCUCGCGAACAAGGAAAAAGAACAUUUACAAAUUUGCUUACAAUGUGGCCGUGGUUUGUGACAAAGCGGUAUAAUCAAAUUUACGGGAAUGAAAUUUAAAUUUGGUUUCAAGGCACCACGCCUGACAUUAACCAACUGACGGAAUUCAUAUUUUUAAAGACGUCCACAAUCAUAUCGAGUGUGACGAAUUACAUCACUAAAUAGAGUAGCCAUCAAGAUUAAACACACAAAUUUAAGCAUCGACCCUGAAUCUUGUUGCAGCAAACCAAGUAGAUAAGUUUGUGUAGAGAGCAUCACCAAUCUCAUCCUUCUCUCUUUCACAUACUUGUCGAAAGCCUCUCCCACUUCAACCAUCAUUCCAUUCCUUCCACUCCAUUUUUUGUAGUAAUUUUUGGCCAAUGCGGGAGCCAAGCUUCUAGCAAUAACAAUGGCGUCUUCGAUGCCUGCGGAGCCUCCCUGACCGAUGAAAGGCCCCAUCACAUGCAUGGCAUCUCCAGCCACCGUCACGCUUCCUUUUCGAAAAUUUUGUACUACUAUCUCCCAUGGCGGACGAUAUCUCAAGCGCACGUGAGAUACUGAUUCUAGUUCACUCUUUCUUAUCAUGUCUACCAUUUCUGAAGGAAAUUCCUCGAGUAUUGAUUGUAAUGUAAAUUGUCGAAUGAGCUCUGGAUCCUUUGAAACCUUCGACGGAUCUGCUACACAUACAAUUUCUUUGAUGUAGUCACGAUUCACAUAACAAGGGAUACAAUUUUGUAGAAGAAAAAGAAAAAGAAAAAGAA